RNAcentral lists this ribosomal RNA (495 nucleotides) under uncultured bacterium. RNAcentral describes it as "bacterial SSU rRNA". It matches the Rfam family "Bacterial small subunit ribosomal RNA", at positions 903 to 1397 of the family's 1533-position model. The record is from RNAcentral.
AAAUGAAUAGACGGGGGCCCGCACAAGCAGCGGAGCAUGUGGUUUAAUUCGAAGCAACGCGAAGAACCUUACCAGGUCUUGACAUCCCCUGAUUGCCCUAGAGAUAGGGAGUUCCCUUCGGGGACAGGGAGACAGGUGGUGCAUGGUUGUCGUCAGCUCGUGUCGUGAGAUGUUGGGUUAAGUCCCGUAACGAGCGCAACCCUUGUAUUUAGUUGCCAUCAGGUAAUGCUGGGCACUCUAGAUAGACUGCCGUAGAGAAUACGGAGGAAGGUGGGGAUGACGUCAAAUCAUCAUGCCCCUUAUGACCUGGGCUACACACGUGCUACAAUGGCCUGAACAGAGGGCAGCGAAAUAGCGAUAUGGAGCUAAUCCCACAAAACAGGUCUCAGUUCGGAUUGUAGGCUGCAACUCGCCUACAUGAAGUCGGAGUUGCUAGUAAUCGCGGAUCAGAAUGCCGCGGUGAAUGCGUUCCCGGGCCUUGUACACACCGCCCGU